UACGAAGGGGGCUAGCGUUGCUCGGAAUCACUGGGCGUAAAGGGUGCGUAGGCGGGUCUUUAGGUCAGGGGUGAAAUCCUGGAGCUCAACUCCAGAACUGCCUUUGAUACUGAGGAUCUUGAGUUCGGGAGAGGUGAGUGGAACUGCGAGUGUAGAGGUGAAAUUCGUAGAUAUUCGCAAGAACACCAGUGGCGAAGGCGGCUCACUGGCCCGGUACUGACGCUGAGGUGCGAAAGCGUGGGGAGCAAACAGG
RNAcentral lists this ribosomal RNA (253 nucleotides) under uncultured bacterium. RNAcentral's name for it is "partial 16S ribosomal RNA". It matches the Rfam family "Bacterial small subunit ribosomal RNA", at positions 524 to 776 of the family's 1533-position model. The record is from RNAcentral.